Molecule: ribosomal RNA, 402 nt
Filed under: uncultured prokaryote
Description: bacterial SSU rRNA
Rfam family: Bacterial small subunit ribosomal RNA
Source: RNAcentral
UAGGGAAUAUUAGUAAUGGGCGAAAGCCUGAACUAGCAACACCGCGUGUGCGAAGAAGGCCUUCGGGUUGUAAAGCACUUUUUGAGAGGAUGAGGAAGGACGGUACUCUUAGAAUAAGCCUCGGCUAACUACGUGCCAGCAGCCGCGGUAAAACGUAGGAGGCGAGCGUUAUCCGGAUUUACUGGGCGUAAAGCGUGUGUAGGCGGUUUGAUAAGUUGGAUGUGAAAGCUCCUGGCUUAACUGGGAGAGGUCGUUCAAAACUGCAGAGCUAGAGGAUGGUAGAGGGAGGUGGAAUUCCGGGUGUAGCGGUGGAAUGCGCAGAUAUCCGGAGGAACACCAGUGGCGAAAGCGGCCUCCUGGACCAUUCCUGACACUCAGACGCGAAAGCUAGGGUAGCAAACG